RNAcentral lists this ribosomal RNA (206 nucleotides) under uncultured bacterium. Its description in RNAcentral is "partial 16S ribosomal RNA". It matches the Rfam family "Bacterial small subunit ribosomal RNA", at positions 1295 to 1500 of the family's 1533-position model. The record is from RNAcentral.
AGAUUGCAGGCUGNAACCCGCCUGCAUGAAGUCGGAAUUGCUAGUAAUCGCGGAUCAGAAUGCCGCGGUGAAUACGUUCCCGGGUCUUGUACACACCGCCCGUCACACCAUGGGAGCCGGGAAUGCCCGAAGUCAGUGGCCCAACCGAAAGGGGGGAGCUGCCGAAGGCAGGCCUGGUGACUGGGGUGAAGUCGUAACAAGGUAGC